Molecule: ribosomal RNA, 250 nt
Filed under: uncultured bacterium
Lineage: Bacteria
Description: partial 16S ribosomal RNA
Rfam family: Bacterial small subunit ribosomal RNA
Source: RNAcentral
UACGGAGGGAUCUAGCGUUAUUCGGAAUAACUGGGCGUAAAGCGAGCGUAGGCGGAUUUGUAAGUUGGAGGUGAAAUCCCAGGGCUUAACCCUGGAACUGCCUUCAAAACUACAUUUCUUGAGUUUGGUAGAGGAGAGUGGAAUUCCUAGUGUAGAGGUGAAAUUCGUAGAUAUUAGGAGGAACACCAGUGGCGAAGGCGACUCUCUGGGCCAAUACUGACGCUGAGGUUCGAAAGCGUGGGGAGCGAAC